AAAAUAUAUUUACAUAGUAAAUAAUAAUAAUAAUAUAAAUAAUUCCUUUGAGUGACAUGUAUCAGCAGAUUCUUCAAAGGCAUUUCCUCUGCCAAAUCAAAGCUGUAGUCCUGCUCCCUGCUGCAGGAGAGACAACAUUUGAUUUCAAAGAAGUCAGUGUCUGCAUUUUGAGUUCAGAAAGGCAUGAAUGAAACUCCAUUUUAGUAUGUAUUACAAAGCCAAGAGGUCAAUAUCAAAACCAGUUAUUCUUAAAUUGAAAUCACUGAGCAUAUUUCCCUGUUUCUCAACACUUUAGUUUCAAAUUAAAUUAUUUAUGUAAAUGAAAAAUCUCCCUGAUAGUGGAGACAUAUGUAUUUAAUUCAAGAGAAAGCUGAAUUAAAAUUGAAAUGCCAGUUCAGUGAGUGAAACUGAGAUCUUUAUAGCUGAGAAAAAUACAUUCACAAUGAGAAUACAGGAAGAUAACAUCUGAGAAUUAAUUUACAAAUGCUUAGAAAGAAAAGUCUGUUACUCAUAUAUCAAUUCAAAGGUUUUUGCUUACCUUUUAAGUCUGCAGAAUAUUCAAGGACACUGCAUGGAGCUGUUCAUCUCAAGUGUUUGAGAGGACCACAGAACAUCUAUGCUGCUAUAGUUGACAUUGACUGAAUGACUACGUGUCCAAUGGAUGAAGAAAAGACAUCCUAUUCUCCAUCAGUAGAGCUACAUCCAAGGUAACGCAAUCAUACAUGCAUUUAAUAUAUGGCUUGUUUAUAUCCAUUUGGAAGAUGAGAAUGAAUAAUUAAAGAAGGAAUUAAUUCAACUGCACAGAAGUAUUCGAUCAAGUCAUGAUUUCUCACAGACAGUCUCACAUUUACAUUUUUUUUAAUUUGGAGUGAGCAUGAAAAGAGGUAACACUGCUCUAUGAAAGUGUCAUAUCAUGAAUGUUUCUAAAAGGUAAUUUCCCCACCAGAGUCUGGGCAGUGAACUGUUCUUCACUUUCUUAUGACUUAGAAAAAAGGUGGAUGUGAUCUUUUGUAACUAGUUGGUGUAGAAAGACCACUGAAAACCAAAUAGUAAAAAUGACGUGAAAAUGUUGAAGUAAUUCUAAGCUUCACAGAAAAUAAGAAGACAGCUGGAAAUACCUUAUAUUGGCUUUCAG
This 1135-nucleotide long non-coding RNA is filed under the name Numida meleagris (helmeted guineafowl). RNAcentral describes it as "lncRNA (ENSNMEG00000018501.1)". Lineage: Eukaryota; Metazoa; Chordata; Aves; Galliformes; Numididae. The record is from RNAcentral.